CAUUCUCUCUUGCUCUUCCUUUGGAGACCGAUGCUUUGUGUGUUGUUUUGGGUUCCACGCCUCUUGGUUGUUCAAAAGUUGUUACAAGGCAAGUAAUGGGUCCGUAACUGGAAAGCCCAUAUCUCGGCUGUGACAUCAUUCCCAACUCGGACCUGCAGCUUGCAAGAAAAUAAUGCAAGACCAAUAUACAGUGCACCCGGAAAGUAUCCACGGGUCUUCACUUUUUCCACUGUGGAGGGGGGCGUGGUCUGCGGGCCUGCCGCGGAGUGGGGUGUGUAAGGACCGGCCUCAAAGUCAGCGGCAGCCUCGCUGCGCGGACCCUCCCCCACCUGACAGGAUGCAAAGUCUGGCCUCUCAGCAGAUAAUGUGACGCACACGUGUGCGAGCGGAAGACGGGGGGACCUGCCGACCACAAAGGGUCCGCUCCUGGAUGCCCGUGCUAUGAUAACACGAGGAAGCCACGGGAGGAAGACGUGUCUGCGGCCGCUUGGCAGGUCUGUGUGCCACUGGGAGUCACACGUAUCUCUCAGAGGGUGAAACCCGGGACUCUGACAGGGCGGCCACGGGUGGAAGGGUGACAGACUUUUUACCGGUUGUCAUCGCAGGGCAAAGCACUUUAAAAGUGUCCAGCUGUGACUACUCUAAUUGUUGUAAAUUGGCACCGAAGAGGUGACACAAAGUGUGGCCGAGGUAAAAAAAAAAAUACUCUUUUAUAACACAUUCCAAAUGCUCAAAAUAAAUGUCCAGAUCCCAUCCAUCCAUCCAUUUUCUACCGCUUGUCCCUUUUGGGGUUGCGGUGGGUGCAUUCGGAUCCCCUCAAAGAUUUCGGCGUGAGCACAUGUGUACAUUGAACCUACAAACUGUGCGCUCUUAGAACAGAGUAAUUGUUCUAUACUCAGAGGACUACAAG
Non-coding RNA from Nerophis lumbriciformis (worm pipefish), 910 nucleotides. Lineage: Eukaryota; Metazoa; Chordata; Actinopteri; Syngnathiformes; Syngnathidae. The record is from RefSeq and is a predicted model, not a curated record.